UGGGAUAUCCGUCCACGACCAGAAUAUACAUUGUUGCAGGGGAAAUUUAUGGCAACAACAGCAUGGAUGAAUUCCGUUCUCAUUACCCGAAUGUGUACUCUCACUCAACCCUUGCAACAAAUGAAGAACUUGAGGCUUUCAAGAAUUAUCAAAACCGUCUUGCUGCAGUAGACUACAUGGUAGCCCUUGAAAGCGAUGUUUUUGCUUACACUUACGAUGGCAAUAUGGCGAAGGCCGUGCAAGGUCAUAGACGAUUUGAAGGAUUUCGGAAGACCAUUAACCCGGACAGGUUCAACUUUGUAAGAUUGAUCGACUCGUUAGAUAAAGGUGAAAUCUCUUGGGAAGAGUUUGCUUCAAAAGUUAAGGCCUUACAAUCCAACAGAUUAGGAGCACCUUACCUAAGACAAGCCGGUGAAUCACCACGAUUAGAGGAGAACUUUUACGCAAAUCCUUUACCAGGUUGCUUGUGUAAUCGAUCACACGAAGAAGCCAGUAAACAACUCAACAAGAGACCAAGACUGAGGGUUGCUUCACAAAGAUAGGUACUUUCAAUGAUCAUAAUGUGGUAGAUUAGUUCAAUAUCAAUAUACAUGUUCUACAAAUGGCCUAUAAGGGGUUGCCAGAAGUCGGGUUUUUCAUCGCCCUUCACACUGCGCAGCGAGCAGAAAGAAAGAGAGAUUGUUGUAAGAAGCAAAGCAGUACUUGGAAGCAGAGAUAUGAUGGUUUAUAAGAUGGACAAAAGAAAGCAUAUACACAAACCAGAGAGAUGUACUCAAAAAUCAUUCUUUAGGGCGACG
Molecule: unclassified non-coding RNA, 797 nt
Filed under: Hevea brasiliensis (rubber tree)
Lineage: Eukaryota; Viridiplantae; Streptophyta; Magnoliopsida; Malpighiales; Euphorbiaceae
Source: RNAcentral